UACGGAGGGUGCAAGCGUUAAUCGGAAUUACUGGGCGUAAAGCGCGCGUAGGCGGCUCGGUCAGUCGGGUGUGAAAUCCCUGGGCUCAACCUGCGAACUGCAUUCGAUACUGCCGAGCUAGAGUGUGGGAGAGGGUAGUGGAAUUCCCGGUGUAGCGGUGAAAUGCGUAGAUAUCGGGAGGAACAUCAGUGGCGAAGGCGACUGCCUGGCCCAACACUGACGCUGAGGUGCGAAAGCGUGGGGAGCGAACAGG
This 253-nucleotide ribosomal RNA is filed under the name uncultured bacterium. Its description in RNAcentral is "partial 16S ribosomal RNA". It matches the Rfam family "Bacterial small subunit ribosomal RNA", at positions 524 to 776 of the family's 1533-position model. The record is from RNAcentral.